AUUGAGUGAAGGAGAUCUUUGCCACAUAGCCUCUUACAGUUAAAACCUAACAUACAUACUGAGGAAUUAUCUAGAAUGCUGCCACCUCUCCUGAUGUAACGGCCUGAGCACGUGGGCUCCGCGUUUCUGUCGAUCUCACGACAACAAACUUUUCAACAACUUUUCAAACCUCCGAC
This is a long non-coding RNA of Cephus cinctus (wheat stem sawfly), 176 nucleotides long. RefSeq lists it as uncharacterized. Lineage: Eukaryota; Metazoa; Arthropoda; Insecta; Hymenoptera; Cephidae. The transcript has 3 exons. The record is from RefSeq and is a predicted model, not a curated record.